Molecule: ribosomal RNA, 445 nt
Filed under: uncultured bacterium
Lineage: Bacteria
Description: bacterial SSU rRNA
Rfam family: Bacterial small subunit ribosomal RNA
Source: RNAcentral
GAUGAACGCUGGCGGCGUGCCUAAUACAUGCAAGUCGAGCGAACAGACGAGGAGCUUGCUCCUCUGACGUUAGCGGCGGACGGGUGAGUAACACGUGGAUAACCUACCUAUAAGACUGGGAUAACUUCGGGAAACCGGAGCUAAUACCGGAUAAUAUAUUGAACCGCAUGGUUCAAUAGUGAAAGACGGUUUUGCUGUCACUUAUAGAUGGAUCCGCGCCGCAAUUAGCUAGUUGGUAAGGUAACGGCUUACCAAGGCAACGAUGCGUAGCCGACCUGAGAGGGUGAUCGGCCACACUGGAACUGAGACACGGUCCAGACUCCUACGGGAGGCAGCAGUAGGGAAUCUUCCGCAAUGGGCGAAAGCCUGACGGAGCAACGCCGCGUGAGUGAUGAAGGUCUUCGGAUCGUAAAACUCUGUUAUUAGGGAAGAACAAAUAGUGUAA